RNAcentral lists this transfer RNA (76 nucleotides) under Candidatus Peregrinibacteria bacterium. Its description in RNAcentral is "tRNA-Thr". It matches the Rfam family "tRNA". Rfam says of the family: Transfer RNA (tRNA) molecules are approximately 80 nucleotides in length. Their secondary structure includes four short double-helical elements and three loops (D, anti-codon, and T loops). Lineage: Bacteria; Candidatus Peregrinibacteriota. The record is from RNAcentral.
GCCGACAUAGCUCAGCCGGUAGAGCAGCACUUUCGUAAAGUGAAGGUCCCCGGUUCAAUUCCGGGUGUCGGCUCCA